This 372-nucleotide ribosomal RNA is filed under the name uncultured organism. Its description in RNAcentral is "partial 16S ribosomal RNA". It matches the Rfam family "Bacterial small subunit ribosomal RNA", at positions 527 to 896 of the family's 1533-position model. The record is from RNAcentral.
GUAGGGUGCAAGCGUUAAUCGGAAUUACUGGGCGUAAAGCGUGCGCAGGCGGGUUUUGUAAGUCUGACGUGAAAUCCCCGGGGCUCAACCUGGGAAUUGCGUUGGAGACUGCAAGGCUGGAGUCUGGCAGAGGGGGGUAGAAUUCCACGUGUAGCAGUGAAAUGCGUAGAGAUGUGGAGGAACACCGAUGGCGAAGGCAGCCCCCUGGGUCAAGACUGACGCUCAUGCACGAAAGCGUGGGGAGCAAACAGGAUUAGAUACCCUGGUAGUCCACGCCCUAAACGAUGUCUACUAGUUGUCGGGUCUUAAUUGACUUGGUAACGCAGCUAACGCGUGAAGUAGACCGCCUGGGGAGUACGGUCGCAAAGAUUA